Molecule: ribosomal RNA, 253 nt
Filed under: uncultured bacterium
Lineage: Bacteria
Description: partial 16S ribosomal RNA
Rfam family: Bacterial small subunit ribosomal RNA
Source: RNAcentral
UACGUGAGGGGCGAACGUUGUUCGGUGUCACUGGGCUUAAAGGGUGCGUAGGUGGUUGCGUAAGUAAGGUGUGAAAUCCCUCGGCUUACCCGGGGAAUUGCAUUUUAUACUGCGUGGCUUGAGGACUAAAGGGGAAAAGGGAACUCCAGGUGUAGCGGUGAAAUGCGCAGAUAUCUGGGGGAAGGCCGGCGGCGAAGGCGCUUUUCUGGUUAGUACCUGACACUGAGGCACGAAAGCGUGGGGAUCAAACAGG